RNAcentral lists this unclassified non-coding RNA (181 nucleotides) under uncultured fungus. RNAcentral describes it as "sequence contains ITS1, 5.8S rRNA gene". The record is from RNAcentral. Lineage: Eukaryota; Fungi.
AUGAAUUGAAGGGCGCGCCUAGCACCGUGCAAACGGAUGGCCGCUUCAUCAUCUCAUUUUCACACACUGUGCUCAUAGAGGAUUUAAAGACAUCGUAAUACAUGUUUUUAAAACACUUUAUACACUUGAACGUUGAACAGUCUCGUGAUGUUGUAAUAACAUUUAAUUGUAAAUGAAAGAA